Non-coding RNA from Parelaphostrongylus tenuis, 76 nucleotides. Lineage: Eukaryota; Metazoa; Nematoda; Chromadorea; Rhabditida; Metastrongylidae. The record is from the annotation of a GenBank genome assembly.
GCGUAUGUAUAUAGUGCAACGGUUAGUAUACGCACCCGAAAAGAGUGAGAUCUGGGUUCGAAUCCCGGCUGACGCA